This 389-nucleotide long non-coding RNA is filed under the name Amborella trichopoda. Its description in RNAcentral is "long non-coding RNA (ATRI_LNC003800)". Lineage: Eukaryota; Viridiplantae; Streptophyta; Magnoliopsida; Amborellales; Amborellaceae. The record is from RNAcentral.
AAUUCUCUCUUUUUUAUGCUCUUAAGUUCCAAUUUUCUGUUGCUUUCCCAUGUCACCCACAUCCAAUGUCUCGUUUUUGUUUUUUUUUGUUUUUUUUACUUGCUUUUGUUUUGAGUGAAAUAUCGGUUUUUGGACUUUGGAUGUUACAAGUUAGAACUAGCCUUUAGCUUAAAAAAAUACAAGUGGCUGGGGUCGAAUGUCCUUUCCAAACUUGUCUUUCACUUGCACCUUAAGAAAAAAAAAAAAAAAAGAGAAAAAAGGGUCCCGCAUUUAACAUCAGAACAAGCUUCCAAAUAUAAAAACAUGAAAAAAUGAAACUUGAGCAUAAAAUAUAAAAAAAAUAUGGUAUUUUUUUAACUUAAAUUAACGAGAAGAAGGGAAGAGGGCAG